AAGACCGGCGGAGAAUCCAGGAAGCAUGGGAACUGGGAUAUUACUCACUCCAUAUUGACUUUCCCAGGAUCAGGGAGGACAACCCCCGGUCCGGACAGCGCCGGUGCAAAUAACAUCAUGUACCGCGUUGUCCUGCCGCUAGUAGUAUUCCUAUUGGUCGCCGCCGUGAUU
Molecule: long non-coding RNA, 171 nt
Organism: Bufo bufo (common toad)
Lineage: Eukaryota; Metazoa; Chordata; Amphibia; Anura; Bufonidae
Exons: 3
Source: RefSeq, a predicted model, not a curated record